GGAGUAUAGCUCAGCUGGGAGAGCAUCUGCCUUACAAGCAGAGGGUCACAGGUUCGAGUCCUGUUACUCCC
Molecule: transfer RNA, 71 nt
Filed under: human gut metagenome
Rfam family: tRNA
About the family: Transfer RNA (tRNA) molecules are approximately 80 nucleotides in length.
Source: RNAcentral